GAUGAACGCUGGCGGCGUGCCUAAUACAUGCAAGUCGAGCGAACAGACGAGGAGCUUGCUCCUCUGACGUUAGCGGCGGACGGGUGAGUAACACGUGGAUAACCUACCUAUAAGACUGGGAUAACUUCGGGAAACCGGAGCUAAUACCGCAUAAUAUAUUGAACCGCAUGGUUCAAUAGUGAAAGACGGUUUUGCUGUCACUUAUAGAUGGAUCCGCGCCGCAUUAGCUAGUUGGUAAGGUAACGGCUUACCAAGGCAACGAUGCGUAGCCGACCUGAGAGGGUGAUCGGCCACACUGGAACUGAGACACGGUCCAGACUCCUACGGGAGGCAGCAGUAGGGAAUCUUCCGCAAUGGGCGAAAGCCUGACGGAGCAACGCCGCGUGAGUGAUGAAGGUCUUCGGAUCGUAAAACUCUGUUAUUAGGGAAGAACAAAUGUGUAAGUAACUAUGCACGUCUUGACGGUACCUAAUCAGAAAGCCACGGCUAACUACGUG
This 497-nucleotide ribosomal RNA is filed under the name uncultured bacterium. RNAcentral's name for it is "partial 16S ribosomal RNA". It matches the Rfam family "Bacterial small subunit ribosomal RNA", at positions 28 to 507 of the family's 1533-position model. The record is from RNAcentral.